Molecule: long non-coding RNA, 2785 nt
Filed under: Ovis aries (sheep)
Lineage: Eukaryota; Metazoa; Chordata; Mammalia; Artiodactyla; Bovidae
Description: lncRNA (ENSOARG00000026936.1)
Source: RNAcentral
AUGGGGUCACAAAGAGUCGGACACAACCGAGCGACUGAACAACUGCUGCUCCCGCCCCCAAAACUGGUGAUGGGGCUCUGGAAGGCUCCCCCACUGCUGUGUCUCUCAAGCUUUCGUCUGGUGGACACCAUUGGAGGAAAUUUUGCUUGGGCCACCUCACCUGCUCUCCUGGCCUGCAGCCUCCUCCUGCUCCUACUGAAAUGUUUCUGCCACUUAGAGCUGAUCCUGUUCCUCCCCAGCGCCCUCUCGGGUCGUAGGUCUGGCUUCUCCCAUCUAAAAUAUCCCCAUCUCAGAGUUCAGAUGCUCCCUGUAUCCGUCUCCCCCAAAGCCUCCAGGGCCAGGUCCCUUCUACCCAGAAUGCCCUUCUCCGGUCACCAUGGCAACCAUUCUGGUCUCCCCUCAGGGUUCCACCCGCUGGUCUUCUCUGUCUGGCUCAGAGGCUCAGGAAAGGGAGAGGGAGGCCAAGCAACCCAGAGUCUGGAAGUCAUGGCCAUGAACUUUCAGGAAAAUGUGACCCUGGCCAUGGCCGUAUUCACCAUCCUUGCUUCCAUCUACUUCUUCAACAAGGCGCAGCAAUGAGAAGACACAGCACCACCUAACCCAAGAGUCCUGCCUCUGUCCCGACCAUGACUCUGGCCUCUGAGACCAAAUAAAUGUGACUGAGUCAGCACACCCUGCUCCAUCUCACCAGGCCAGCAGGCAUACCGCCUCCGGCCAGCUCUGUCUGAGGUCCAGGCUUCUGGGUCAGAGAGAGGAAGCCUGGACUCCUGGGUCUGGGGAAGUUGGGGACUAGCAAGAUAGACUUUUAGAUUCGAGGCUAGGAGUCCAGUCAUUGAGCUGGGUUUUGAAGGAUGAGUAGGAGUCUGUCAGAGUUUAGAGGGGGGAAGGACAUUCCAACUUGUGUGCAAGAGCACAGAGAGGAGAAAUAACAGGGCUGAUUCCCCACCUGGUACCAACACAGACUGCUGUGUACUUCAGAUUUAUUUCUUCUCUCUGAGCCUUGGUUUUCUCCUUGGACUCCAAAAGGCCGUAGCAAGGAUAACCUAACACGAAAGAUGUGAAUGGAAUUUGCAAGCUACGGAAGGUCUGUAGUGGUCAUCUUCACUGUUUCAUUGUAUCAACACAUCUUUCUCUUAGCAAACUCCUAUUCAGCCUUCAAUGCCCACUGCAAAUGCCCCUCACUAUAAAAGUAUCCAGACCUCCAAACACAUAGCCAGUUACCCCCUCCCUCCCUCACUGCCUCCUCUCCGCUCCCUGUCUCCAUCCCCAGUAGGUGGAAUGCCCUGGGUGAUACGCUAGUCUUUAGUUGAGCUUUAUUCAUUUUUUUUCAUCAGAUAAACAUUUCAUUUCAAUUCAAGAUUUGAAAAGGAGACUCCUGAGCAGAGUGACUGAACAUCCUGGGUUUCCCAGGGAAGGCCUAGCAAAUUCGAAUUAGGAAUUGAUUUAUAGUCUUACUAUAAUUUUGGCUUGUGGAAUGCAAAGCACUUUGGGCCAGUUAUUCCAGUAUAAUUGGGACUCGAAUCCUCUUUAUUUCUUCCUUUUUAUUUAUUUAUUUUUAGCUGUGCUGGGUCUUCAUUGCUUUGAGGGAUCUUCUUUAGUUGCAGCUAGCAGGGGCCCCUCUCUAGUUGUGGUGCGCCGGCUUCUCAUUGCGGGGGCUUCUUUCGUUGCAGAACACAGGCUCUGGGGCUCAUGGGCUUCCGUAGUUGCAGCACGUGGGCAGCUAAUAGCUGCGGUGCACAGGUUUAGUUGCUCCGCAGCAUGUGGGAAUCUUCCAGGACUGGGAGUCGAACCCACCUCUCCUGCACUGGCAGGCGGAUCCUUUACCACUGAGCCAUCAGGGAAGCCCCUUUCUUUAAGUCUUGAAAGUGGUCUGAUUCAAAAGGUAGUCUUACUUACAGAGGGGCUGGCUUCCCAGGUGGCACUAGUGGUAAAGAACCCGCCUGCCAGUGCAGGAGGCUUAAGAAGACAUAGGUUCGAUCCCUGGAUGGGGAAGAUCUCCUGGAGGAGGGCAUGACAACCCACUCCUGUAAUCUUGCCUGGAGAGUCCUAUGGCCAGAGGAGCCUGGCAGGCCACAGUCUAUAGGGUCACAAAGAGUCGGACACAACUGAAGCGACUCAGCACACAGCACUUACAGGAGACCUUGUUUGCAAAUCUGAGAAUGACCACACGGGGGCGGUGUUGGACCAUGUUCCCAGCCAGAACUUGGUCCCCUGGUUAAGUUAGUUGAUUUCUGCAAAACCAGAAUUCUGUGACCUGGGCGGGGAAGCUUUCCUCGUCCCUGGACCUUCCCCCUGCCCCCCAUCCCUCUCCUCCAGUCCUCCUGGGGUCCUUCUAUAAGCAGAGCUGACCUGUCCUUCCCUGCUCACAGUCCCUCCCCCAGGAUAGCUGUCCCAGCCCAACAGACUGGCAUUGCAGCAAGGUGUAUCUAACCUGACAGCCCUCCAGGCUUUCUUUUUAAAAUCUCGCCCACUUCCCAUGCCCCUCCUGUAGCACACCCUUGCCCAGCUGCUGAGUCGUGUCUGACUCUUUUGUGACUCCAUGGACUGCAGCCUUCCAGGCUCCUCCGUCCAUGGGAUUUUUCAGGCAAGAUUACUGGAGUGGGUUGCCAUUUCUUUCUCCAGGGGAUCUUCCCGCACCAAGGAUCGAAUCCAGGUCUCCUCGAGUGUGUCUCCUGCAUUGGGAGGCAAAUUCCAUAUGUAACUGAGACGGUUUAGAAAAAGAAAAAGAAAAACACACCCCAGGGCCAUUGCACAUGCUGUGCUCCCAGCCUGGAGCAUCCACCUC